This is a long non-coding RNA of Halichondria panicea, 1538 nucleotides long. RefSeq lists it as uncharacterized. NCBI's taxonomy places the organism in Eukaryota, Metazoa, Porifera, Demospongiae, Suberitida, Halichondriidae. The transcript has 3 exons. The record is from RefSeq and is a predicted model, not a curated record.
CACACCGCCGGCCAUCGAGCAACACGGCAACAAUGAGCAACACGGCAACAAAGACAAGGAGAAUGUCGACUCUGCCAGUCAGCUAAGGGAAUGUCAGACAAAUGGUUCUAGCUGAGAUCAAACGAGACGGGCGAUGAGGUAGAUCACACGUUACUAUCGGAGACACUAUAGCAACCACAUCAAUGGUCUCUCCUGGGGGGCUUGUAGUGAUGAUACUGAAACUUGCGACCAACUAUAGCAACCACAUCAAUGGUCUCUCCCUGGGGGGCUUGUAGUGAUGAUACUGAAACUUGCGACCAGUAACUCCAGAAAUGUGUGUUUUUUGCCGAGAACGAGGUAAGUUCGUCUUGCCAAUCGUUCAGUGACGAACGAUGCAGACGAGGCACUCUGCACUAUCGAGGGAGCUCAAGCAGUGAUAACAGACCCCUCUGGGGACUUCACCUUGACGUAGCUCGAAUCUUCAUAACAGUAUUAGAUGAGACAUUAACCGAAUAGCCGCGGUUAUGAUUUCAUACGUAGUACCGCCCACCGCGGAACCAAAAUCUAAUUAAUUUUAAAUUACUUUCAUUAUCAGCUCCUAGCAAAGAAAGAUGCGUAGCUAAGAAGUUUUCUGCAGGAAACUUUGUUGCAAACUAGUCUAGGUAACCAGCCAAGGCCCCAGCGAAGGAUCAUUUCACAACAUUCGCCUCUAGCAAAGAAAGAUGCAUAACUUGGAAACAGUGACAGUUUUCUUUAUUCAACUUCGUAGCAAAGUAGUCUACAGUUUACUGUGUCAGGAUCUCCUGGUUUCCAACGGCAACGGAAAAGUCAACCAGCCAAGGCCAGAGCGAGGGAUCUCUUCAGAGUAUGGCAAAGAAAGAUGCACCCUUAGUAACAGUAACAGUUCUCUUCAAGCUACCUUGUAGCUAGUUACUCUGUCAGGACCUCCAAUCUGAACAGUCAACCAGCCAAGGACAGAGCGAGAUUGUGUGCGUAUGAUUAUAGCGAUGCUGUACAUAGUGUUCUUAGCUGAUAAUGCGCUUACCUACGUAGCUUGUAAAGUGUACGCAGUGUGUUGAAGCCGAGUUUAAAAUACAGAAGCCUAUAUGUACGCUCAGCAGUGUUGCAAUGUAAAGGGGUCAUCCGAGGGGUCCGCAACGGGCCAAAAUUCUGUACGAGAUUCUGGAAUCUUAAAGAUUCCAACGAGAUUCCGAGAUUCCGAUGGAUUCCAUUCGAAGAUUUCAAGAUUCCAUUCAAGAUUCCGAGAUUUCUAGAAGAUUUCAAGAUUCCAUUCAAGAUUCCAAGAUUUCUAGAAGAUUUUAAGAUUCCAGAAAGAUUCCUAUAAGAUUUUUGGCAGUCAUGGGCGUUGGCCACGCCCUGAUCUAGUCGAUCGCCGCCGCCCUCCUUCCAGGCAAUGGUAGAGGGUGCCGGCGCCCCACUAGCCCUGCCAUGCAUGCAAAAAAGCUAGAUGCCAUAGCUAGGCAGGCUAGACUAUAGACAUUUAGUAUGAGCACUUAUUAUUAUAAUAGUAUGUAUUAUAUCUGAAUUGAUGAACAUUA